AUUCAGUUGACGAAUCCCAAAUAAGACGAAACGCACCUCCUGGAU
RNAcentral lists this non-coding RNA (45 nucleotides) under Schistosoma mansoni. Lineage: Eukaryota; Metazoa; Platyhelminthes; Trematoda; Strigeidida; Schistosomatidae. The record is from RNAcentral.